AACGAACGCUGGCGGCAUGCCUAACACAUGCAAGUCGAACGAAGCCUUCGGGCUUAGUGGCGCACGGGUGCGUAACGCGUGGGAAUCUGCCCUCAGGUACGGAAUAACUCAGGGAAACUUGAGCUAAUACCGUAUAAUGACUUCGGUCCAAAGAUUUAUCGCCUGAGGAUGAGCCCGCGUCGGAUUAGCUAGUUGGUGAGGUAAAAGCUCACCAAGGCGACGAUCCGUAGCUGGUCUGAGAGGAUGAUCAGCCACACUGGGACUGAGACACGGCCCAGACUCCUACGGGAGGCAGCAGUGGGGAAUAUUGGACAAUGGGCGAAAGCCUGAUCCAGCAAUGCCGCGUGAGUGAUGAAGGCCUUAGGGUUGUAAAGCUCUUUUACCCGGGAUGAUAAUGACAGUACCGGG
Molecule: ribosomal RNA, 408 nt
Filed under: Sphingomonadaceae bacterium Ellin7128
Lineage: Bacteria; Pseudomonadati; Pseudomonadota; Alphaproteobacteria; Sphingomonadales; Sphingomonadaceae
Description: bacterial SSU rRNA
Rfam family: Bacterial small subunit ribosomal RNA
Source: RNAcentral